This 2902-nucleotide ribosomal RNA is filed under the name Klebsiella pneumoniae. RNAcentral describes it as "23S ribosomal RNA". It matches the Rfam family "Bacterial large subunit ribosomal RNA". Lineage: Bacteria; Pseudomonadati; Pseudomonadota; Gammaproteobacteria; Enterobacterales; Enterobacteriaceae. The record is from RNAcentral. RNAcentral also lists the same sequence under 1 other name.
GGUUAAGCGACUAAGCGUACACGGUGGAUGCCCUGGCAGUCAGAGGCGAUGAAGGACGUGCUAAUCUGCGAAAAGCGUCGGUAAGGUGAUAUGAACCGUUAUAACCGGCGAUGUCCGAAUGGGGAAACCCAGUGUGAUUCGUCACACUAUCGUUAACUGAAUACAUAGGUUAACGAGGCGAACCGGGGGAACUGAAACAUCUAAGUACCCCGAGGAAAAGAAAUCAACCGAGAUUCCCCCAGUAGCGGCGAGCGAACGGGGAGCAGCCCAGAGUCUGAAUCAGCUUGUGUGUUAGUGGAACGGUCUGGAAAGUCCGACGGUACAGGGUGAUAGUCCCGUACACCAAAAUGCACAGGUUGUGAACUCGAAGAGUAGGGCGGGACACGUGGUAUCCUGUCUGAAUAUGGGGGGACCAUCCUCCAAGGCUAAAUACUCCUGACUGACCGAUAGUGAACCAGUACCGUGAGGGAAAGGCGAAAAGAACCCCGGCGAGGGGAGUGAAAAAGAACCUGAAACCGUGUACGUACAAGCAGUGGGAGCACCUUCGGGUGUGACUGCGUACCUUUUGUAUAAUGGGUCAGCGACUUAUAUUCUGUAGCAAGGUUAACCGUAUAGGGGAGCCGCAGGGAAACCGAGUCUUAACUGGGCGUUAAGUUGCAGGGUAUAGACCCGAAACCCGGUGAUCUAGCCAUGGGCAGGUUGAAGGUUGGGUAACACUAACUGGAGGACCGAACCGACUAAUGUUGAAAAAUUAGCGGAUGACUUGUGGCUGGGGGUGAAAGGCCAAUCAAACCGGGAGAUAGCUGGUUCUCCCCGAAAGCUAUUUAGGUAGCGCCUCGUGAACUCAUCUUCGGGGGUAGAGCACUGUUUCGGCUAGGGGGUCAUCCCGACUUACCAACCCGAUGCAAACUACGAAUACCGAAGAAUGUUAUCACGGGAGACACACGGCGGGUGCUAACGUCCGUCGUGAAGAGGGAAACAACCCAGACCGCCAGCUAAGGUCCCAAAGUCAUGGUUAAGUGGGAAACGAUGUGGGAAGGCACAGACAGCCAGGAUGUUGGCUUAGAAGCAGCCAUCAUUUAAAGAAAGCGUAAUAGCUCACUGGUCGAGUCGGCCUGCGCGGAAGAUGUAACGGGGCUAAACCAUGCACCGAAGCUGCGGCAGCGACACUAUGUGUUGUUGGGUAGGGGAGCGUUCUGUAAGCCUGCGAAGGUGUGCUGUGAGGCAUGCUGGAGGUAUCAGAAGUGCGAAUGCUGACAUAAGUAACGAUAAAGCGGGUGAAAAGCCCGCUCGCCGGAAGACCAAGGGUUCCUGUCCAACGUUAAUCGGGGCAGGGUGAGUCGACCCCUAAGGCGAGGCCGAAAGGCGUAGUCGAUGGGAAACAGGUUAAUAUUCCUGUACUUGGUGUUACUGCGAAGGGGGGACGGAGAAGGCUAUGUUAGCCGGGCGACGGUUGUCCCGGUUUAAGCAUGUAGGCUGAUUGUCCAGGCAAAUCCGGAUAAUCAAGGCUGAGGUGUGAUGACGAGGCACUACGGUGCUGAAGUAACAAAUGCCCUGCUUCCAGGAAAAGCCUCUAAGCAUCAGGUAACAUCAAAUCGUACCCCAAACCGACACAGGUGGUCAGGUAGAGAAUACCAAGGCGCUUGAGAGAACUCGGGUGAAGGAACUAGGCAAAAUGGUGCCGUAACUUCGGGAGAAGGCACGCUGGUGUGUAGGUGAAGUCCCUGCGGAUGGAGCUGAGACCAGUCGAAGAUACCAGCUGGCUGCAACUGUUUAUUAAAAACACAGCACUGUGCAAACACGAAAGUGGACGUAUACGGUGUGACGCCUGCCCGGUGCCGGAAGGUUAAUUGAUGGGGUUAUCCGUAAGGAGAAGCUCUUGAUCGAAGCCCCGGUAAACGGCGGCCGUAACUAUAACGGUCCUAAGGUAGCGAAAUUCCUUGUCGGGUAAGUUCCGACCUGCACGAAUGGCGUAAUGAUGGCCAGGCUGUCUCCACCCGAGACUCAGUGAAAUUGAACUCGCUGUGAAGAUGCAGUGUACCCGCGGCAAGACGGAAAGACCCCGUGAACCUUUACUAUAGCUUGACACUGAACAUUGAGCCUUGAUGUGUAGGAUAGGUGGGAGGCUUUGAAGCGUGGACGCCAGUCUGCGUGGAGCCAACCUUGAAAUACCACCCUUUAAUGUUUGAUGUUCUAACGUUGGCCCCUUACCGGGGUUGCGGACAGUGUCUGGUGGGUAGUUUGACUGGGGCGGUCUCCUCCCAAAGCGUAACGGAGGAGCACGAAGGUUAGCUAAUCCUGGUCGGACAUCAGGAGGUUAGUGCAAUGGCAUAAGCUAGCUUGACUGCGAGCGUGACGGCGCGAGCAGGUGCGAAAGCAGGUCAUAGUGAUCCGGUGGUUCUGAAUGGAAGGGCCAUCGCUCAACGGAUAAAAGGUACUCCGGGGAUAACAGGCUGAUACCGCCCAAGAGUUCAUAUCGACGGCGGUGUUUGGCACCUCGAUGUCGGCUCAUCACAUCCUGGGGCUGAAGUAGGUCCCAAGGGUAUGGCUGUUCGCCAUUUAAAGUGGUACGCGAGCUGGGUUUAGAACGUCGUGAGACAGUUCGGUCCCUAUCUGCCGUGGGCGCUGGAGAAUUGAGGGGGGCUGCUCCUAGUACGAGAGGACCGGAGUGGACGCAUCACUGGUGUUCGGGUUGUCAUGCCAAUGGCACUGCCCGGUAGCUAAAUGCGGAAGAGAUAAGUGCUGAAAGCAUCUAAGCACGAAACUUGCCCCGAGAUGAGUUCUCCCUGAGACUUUAAGUCUCCUGAAGGAACGUUAAAGACGAUGACGUUGAUAGGCCGGGUGUGUAAGCGCAGCGAUGCGUUGAGCUAACCGGUACUAAUGAACCGUGAGGCUUAACCUU